UGCGUAAUUGUGAUUUAGAAAAGCUAGUACUGAACCGCGUACAUUUGUGCCUUUCGUUCAAGCCACACUUAACACUUUUCACAUCCACAGUGUCGAGUCACAUUAGCGAGGUAGCGCUUGAUGUGCUAACGAGCGACUGUGGAGCAUAAUCUUAUUUGGCAAUGGGUCCAAGUGCUUAAAACUGGACGAUCGAAGGAUUAAACCAAACAGACAUUGAACUAACAGCUGAAGAUGGUACGGUGAAGAAAUACCACAGAGAGAUCUCGAAGCUGUCCUCAACAGCAGCUAAACUCACCGAGCUGACUAUAGAGGCCUGUCCAGACUUUUCUCCUAAUCUUUUUGAAUACUCAAGUAAGUUGUUUUGUUUAUUUCGAAAUCCCUCCAGGACCAUGUUUCAGCAUACACUCGUUGGACAUUUUAUCAGGUGCAGCCACCAUACAAUUACUGACACACUGUAGCUUUUGUUGUCCUGCACCUCUACCCUACAGGUUCCCAAUCCUGGUCCUGGUCCUGUCCUGCACAUUUGAGUGUUUUUCCUGCUCUAAAACAGCUGAUUUGAUGAGAUCAUUAACAGGUUCCUGAGUUGAAGUGGGCUUGUUAAAGCACUUAAAACACUACAAUGCUCAGGGCAGGGUUACACCAGCACUCGGGUUGGAAACCAGUGCUUCAUCCUGUCAAUAGAACCACCGUAGGACCACCGCUGUCCAGAUAUUAUUUCCUCAUCUCACUGUCAUGUCCGGGAUUGAUUUUAAACACAUAAAAGCCACUGCAGGAUUUAUAAUAGAUCACCAAACUAAAAGAACACACUGACACUGGUGACCCUCCAGCUGUACAGCUAUAAGGUAGACCAACAUUGUGAGUAUGUCUAAAGUAGACCACUCUAUAAGGUAGACCAACAAUGAGUGAGCAUGUCUCUCAGUCUCAUAAUGUGAAGGUCGUGAGUUCGAUCCUCACACAGCGCAUGAAUGUGUUGAACAAUGGACUCUUCUCUCUUCUCCCUGUUG
Molecule: long non-coding RNA, 1004 nt
Organism: Ictalurus punctatus (channel catfish)
Lineage: Eukaryota; Metazoa; Chordata; Actinopteri; Siluriformes; Ictaluridae
Source: Ensembl